This 80-nucleotide transfer RNA is filed under the name Aplocheilus panchax (blue panchax). Its description in RNAcentral is "tRNA-Val". It matches the Rfam family "tRNA". Rfam says of the family: Transfer RNA (tRNA) molecules are approximately 80 nucleotides in length. Their secondary structure includes four short double-helical elements and three loops (D, anti-codon, and T loops). Further hydrogen bonds mediate the characteristic L-shaped molecular structure. tRNAs have two regions of fundamental functional importance: the anti-codon, which is responsible for specific mRNA codon recognition, and the 3' end, to which the tRNAs corresponding amino acid is attached (by aminoacyl-tRNA synthetases). tRNAs cope with the degeneracy of the genetic code in two manners: having more than one tRNA (with a specific anti-codon) for a particular amino acid; and 'wobble' base-pairing, i.e. permitting non-standard base-pairing at the 3rd anti-codon position. The record is from RNAcentral. Lineage: Eukaryota; Metazoa; Chordata; Actinopteri; Cyprinodontiformes; Aplocheilidae.
CAGGUCGUAGCUAAAAUAGAAAAGCAUCUCCCUUACACUGAGAAGUCACCCGUGCAAAUCGAGUCGCCCUGACACCCAAC